UCUUUUAUCCAUCUACUUCACAAGAUAUCUAGUUUUGUUAUGUUUCCCAGACUUUCAAAAAUUUAUUUUGAUACUGAUGUUUCAAGUUACAUGUGGCGACAGUCUUUCAAAAGAUAUGCCCACCUGAUUAUACCUGUCCCACUGUGGAAAAUGAAUUUUUGUUUCACACACAUUCUCAGAUUACAAAUUCUUGACUCUGUACAUUGAACCCACAGUCAUAACCAGGAAUUAUAAUCCUCCCUAUCAACCACUUACUUGAUGACUUGAGGGAUUGCAGGAUAGAAUUCAUUUCAAUUUCUGGAGACUUCCUUAACAGAGAAAGCCUCCAAAAAACUGAUUCAGCCACUGGACAACAAGUUCCCCAGAAUAGAAGCUUUAACACAGGUCAAGGUAAUGAUAUGAUCACAUGAUUUCUCUCCUUUACUCUGUUAGUAUGGUGAACUGCACUGAUUUUGAUUCUUAGCUCAGACUGCAUUCUUGAAAUAAAUGUAAUUUGGUCAUCACGUGUUAGCUUUUUUAUAUAUUUAUUGAUUCAGCUUGGUUAUCUUGAUUCAGAAGUUAAUAUGGACAACUAAAUAAGCAUGUAUAGCCAGAAACUGUUUAAGCAGUUUUGAUGGAGCUGCCCUACCAAAUAUUCAAACGCUUUUUAAAGCCUCAAUAAUUAAAACAGUGGUCUUGCUACAUGAUGGAGCAUACUGACCUAAACAACAAAAGAGACAAUUAGAAAUAGAUGCAAAUAUGUACCAUUUCUUAAAUGUAAUAAAGAUGAUACCUCAAAAGUAUGUGGAAUA
Molecule: long non-coding RNA, 791 nt
Organism: Balaenoptera acutorostrata (minke whale)
Lineage: Eukaryota; Metazoa; Chordata; Mammalia; Artiodactyla; Balaenopteridae
Exons: 4
Source: RefSeq, a predicted model, not a curated record